AGAAUGUGGAGUCCAGAUACCACCUAAAAAACGGGGCGUAACCGAAAAGCCAUACGAGUAGGAAAACU
Molecule: non-coding RNA, 68 nt
Filed under: unclassified sequences
Description: DUF805 RNA
Rfam family: DUF805 RNA
Source: RNAcentral